UACAGAGGGUGCGAGCGUUGUCCGGAAUCACUGGGCGUAAAGGGCGCGUAGGCGGCCUGAUAAGUAGGGGGUGAAAUCUUGCGGCUCAACCGCAAGGCUGCCUUCUAAACUGUCAGGCUGGAGCACGGUAGAGGCAGAUGGAAUUCCCGGUGUAGCGGUGGAAUGCGUAGAGAUCGGGAAGAACACCAGUGGCGAAGGCGGUCUGCUGGGCCGUUGCUGACGCUGAGGCACGAAAGCGUGGGUAGCAAACAGG
Molecule: ribosomal RNA, 253 nt
Filed under: uncultured bacterium
Lineage: Bacteria
Description: partial 16S ribosomal RNA
Rfam family: Bacterial small subunit ribosomal RNA
Source: RNAcentral